CAGCGGGCUAAAGUCCUGUGAAAGGAGUUGUCCGUACGCCUUUCCAGCACCGGGAAGUGGCGUUCAAGUAAUCGGAGGUCGUGAGCUUCCCAAGGGCAAAGCAGCAGGCCGCAACGCAA
This is a non-coding RNA of Candidatus Accumulibacter sp. BA-94, 119 nucleotides long. Lineage: Bacteria; Pseudomonadati; Pseudomonadota; Betaproteobacteria. The record is from Rfam.